Molecule: ribosomal RNA, 484 nt
Filed under: uncultured bacterium
Lineage: Bacteria
Description: partial 16S ribosomal RNA
Rfam family: Bacterial small subunit ribosomal RNA
Source: RNAcentral
AUUGAACGCUGGCGGCAGGCCUAACACAUGCAAGUCGAGCGGAUGAAGCGUGCUUGCUCCUGGAUUCCGCGGCGGACGGGUGUGUAAUGCCUAGGAAUCUGCCUGCUAGUGGGGGAUAACGUCCGCAAACGGGCGCUACUACCGCCUACGUCCUGCGGGAGCUGCUGGGGGAUCUUCGGAACUCACGCUCGCAGAUGAGCCUAGGCCGGAUGAGCUAGUUGGUUGGGUAAAGGCCUACCAAGGCGGCCAUCCGCAACUGGUCUGAUAGGAUGAUCAGCCACACUGGAGCUGAGACACGGACCAGAGGCCUAAGAGAGGGAGCAGUGGGGUAUAUUAGACAAUAGUGGAGAGCCUGAUCCAGUGGUGCCGCGUGUGUGGAGAAGGUGUUCGGAGUGUAAAGCAGUUUAAGUUGGGGGAAAGGGCAUUAAGUUAAUACCUUGCGGUUGUGACGUUACCAGGAAAAUAAGCACCGGCUAACUACGUG